CCUUGGUGCCCGUCUUCGCCCAUUUGCGCAUUUUCCUUUAAACUAUCGUGCCCAGCGCCUGCGUGGCAGCCCUGUCUCUUCUGGGGACCCCUGGGCUGGAGUGGAUAGGGCUGCGCCCACUGGGCAAACUCCGCAGUCUCCGGGCCAUUGAGAGACAGACUCCCGAGCAGGCGCCCUGCGGGGUCUCCACGAGGUCCUGGGGGAGCCCUGGAAGCGGGUCCCUGGGCAGGGGACCCAAGACCCCAUCUCUAACUGGAGGACUGAGCCGCCUCCUCCCUCUGGAGACCUGCCCCCGGAUGCCCCGCCCCUUUUUCGUGACCCCCACCUGACCCGGAAGCCAGGCCCGACUGUCUCCAGAAGGACUUGGAGCAGAGGGAAGAGUUCCUCUUGUGUGCUUCUCUUCCCGCUGCGUCCCGCGACUCUGCCUACACGCCUCUGGCCGACCACCCCGUGCCGUGGAGACCCUCGACUUGCUGGCCUUGUGGUGAAGCAACAGGAGCAGAUCCUAUUUUUUCAGAUGGAUGCACCCAUCCAUCUCAAGCUUCUGUGAAUGUCGGUUGGUAAAGACUCAUAGACUGAGUUGGGAAGUUGGACCUUACCCCCAAACUGUGGCAAUGGCCAACAAGCGGCUAAUACAGGUGCUCAUAAGACACAUUGUGCACCCCAAACUCAGCAUCUGCUUCCAGAGAACGCAACCUGUGACAGCUGUGCCACAGUAAGAACUGGUAGUGCAGGAGUAAUAAACAUUUGGCUCUCCUCCCAUCCGUCCUUCUUCUGGCACAUUUUCAAUCCAAAAUUUAGGAACUUCCGUCACAGCUGCUUCUGUUUACUAAAGAGAUAGGCCUUAGAAAACGUGCAGCCUGCAGUGUGGUCAGUAGAGAGUUGAUCUUGUUCAAAGCCUACAGAAAAUUGAAGAACAUCACAGGGAAAAAGUAACUGAAGAGUUGGAAAGGGAUACUUAGUUCUGGAGGAGGAAGAGAAGAAAAAGCAUAUUUUGCUGAGCUAAAGGAGUAGGAUAUAGGUUUCAUCAGGGAAGAGAUUAUGUCGGUUUGGCUCAUUGCUGUACCUCUAGUGCCUAGGGCAGUGUCCGGCACGUGAUAAGCCCACGGGUAGAUGUCUUUUGCUGCUUGAAACUUGGCAUUUCUGAAACGCACUCAGUAUGUAAAUAUCUAUCUACUCUAGGAACAUGUACCAAUGUUUGACUGUUUCCUAGAAAUAUGCUCACUACUAAGCAAUCUGUUCAGGCUACUACUCUGCUGUGGAAGAUUCCCCUUCUCUGAAUGAGAGGCAGAAAGGCACCUCCCGUCAUGGAGAAGGUCAUCAGUAUUUGUAUCUAUAGUUCCUGGGAGUUUUGUGGAAUGUCAGUGUAUUAAUCUAUCUGAAGCUAAUUUAAAUAACGUCAUUAUCAUAAUUAAAAGUCAAAACCUUUACGUGAGGUUAAAUCAGAGAGAUCUCUUUCCUGGCUUGGCUGAAAAUACUAAGCCACAAAUGUUUCCUCUACACACCCCAUCUCCUUCUGCCAGUAACUCUUAAUUACUAAUGCACAUUGUUAGCUCCCCUCCACUUCAAAAAAUUUAAGUGCUUCUUGUGUAGGCAAUUUCAAAGAGAUCCAGAAGAAUCUAAUUAUGCUGAAAAUUUAAAUCCACCAUAUUUUCAGUGUCUUCCAAGUAUUUGGCAGAGGGUUAUCUACCAUUGCUGAUAUAAAUCAACUCUAAAAUAUUAUCCUGUUUCGCUUUAUUCUAAGUUUUGUAAUAAAAUGAAAUGCAGGUGUGUCUGGGGAAUUACAAAUGUGACCUUUUAAACAGUACUAUGUUGCACCCAAUUCUACAGUGAUAUUUUGAAAUAUGUGAUUAUCGAUUUGCUACUUUUUAUAUUUCUAAUAACUUUAACAUCUCCUAAAUGCCCUGCACUUACCAAUCAGUAAAGCACUAGCCAAAUGAAUCAGAUAGCAAUAAUUAGCCUAGUGCACACGUUUUCUGAGUAAUAGAAGGGAUUCAGGAUAAAAUAAACCUGUAUAGUAUGUUUUCUAUACUUUGCUAAAUGAUCAGAGAGAUUUCUACCCUAUGUUUGCUAACCUUCUUAUUGUAGGCAGAAUUCUGGUAUUAAAGAGCAGCAUUCUAAAAACUCAAGAUAAUUGGGCACUCUCAAUUCAGAGGUUUUUGCAAAUCCAUGAAUAAUUGCACAUAGUUAUGUGUGUAUAUACCAAAAGUCUUAAGACUCACUUACCUCCUGUGGGUUUAGUACUCGAGAUACAAGAAAUGAAAACGAGGGAAAUGAUUUAUCACUGAGAUUCCCAUAUUUAUGAAAGAUAUGUAUACCAAAUUGAUACUCCAGUAAGUGGCCUAUCUUUAAAAAAUAAAAUUAAAAAUGGAUUAUCCAUUGAUUGUGAUAAUUUCCAAGAAUUUUGUGAAGGAAAGGCUGAUUGACUAUGGGCAGUUAUUAAGUAAAAGAAAAAGAUAUAUUGAUAUUUAUGGUAACUAAUAGUAUCAUUAAAAUUCAAUACGAAAUGGAGACCAGACUUGAGAAUUUUCUGAGCAGACAAAACCGUUUAAGCCACAUAAACAAAACUACAUUUAGCUUAUUUCAUGAACAUAAGCAAAAUUUAACGUAGGUUAUUUCUUGUAAAUGCCUCUUAUAACCAUAAAAGAAACUUAUGUCAUUUUCCUAAAAUGAUACAAGAUAAUCACUUUUAACCAAUACCCUGCAGUCUGGAAACUCCCACUGUAAUAACUCACUAUGGUAAAGGUUAAACAACUUCCUCAUUUUCACUUUAUAAGCCGUUCUGUAACGUCACACCUCUGAACUUCAUAUCAUUUUGGGAUUUGAAAGCUUGCAGUUGGUGAACUGUUCUUAUUUGCACAGUAAACUCUUACUAAAUACUGUUUUACUGGCCUGGUUUUCUUUUUUACUGUUUCUGGAUUUUUGAAAGUCUUACUGGAUCUUUCCAGACUCUUAAAAAAACUCAUUCUCAAUAUAUCUCCUCUAUAUUUUCUGCUUUUAAAUUUUUUUACUAAUGUCUUCUAUUGCUAUGGUACGUUUGUCAUAACUAAGGAGCUAAUAUUGAUAUUAUUAUUAAACUCAAGUCCAUACUUUAUUUGGGUUUCCUUAGUUUUUACCUAACGUCUUCUUUCUGCUCCAGGAUGCCAUCCAGAGACACCGUAGGAGAUUUAGUCACCAUGUCUUUCUUCUUAGUCUCUUCUAGCUCAGUUCUCAGACUUUCCUUGUUUGUUGAUAACCUUGAAAGUUUGAGGAGUACUGGUCAGCUAUUUUGUAGAAUUCCUUUUAAUUUUUUUUUCCCUGAUGCUUUUCUCAUGAUUACACUCAGGUUGUAGUUUUUUGGAACUGCCAUUCCCAUCACUUCAAAUCAAGAGUACACUCUAUUAACAUGUCAUUAAUGGUGUUAAUCUUGGUGACUGGGUUUUCCAGGUUUCUCUACUAUAACUCUUCUCUUUUCCCCCCUUUUCCACACUGUACUCGUUGGAAG
Molecule: long non-coding RNA, 3484 nt
Filed under: Equus caballus (horse)
Lineage: Eukaryota; Metazoa; Chordata; Mammalia; Perissodactyla; Equidae
Description: lncRNA (ENSECAG00000054872.1)
Source: RNAcentral